This 254-nucleotide ribosomal RNA is filed under the name uncultured bacterium. Its description in RNAcentral is "partial 16S ribosomal RNA". It matches the Rfam family "Bacterial small subunit ribosomal RNA", at positions 524 to 776 of the family's 1533-position model. The record is from RNAcentral.
CACGUAGGGUGCGAGCGUUGUCCGGAAUUAUUGGGCGUAAAGAGCUCGUAGGCGGUGUGUCGCGUCGGCCGUGAAAACCUGCAGCUUAACUGUGGGCUUGCGGUCGAUACGGGCAUCACUGGAGUUCGGUAGGGGAGACUGGAAUUCCUGGUGUAGCGGUGAAAUGCGCAGAUAUCAGGAGGAACACCAAUAGCGAAGGCAGCUCGCUGGGACGGUACUGACGCUAAGGCGCGAAAGCGUGGGGAGCGAACAGG